UACGUAGGGUGCGAGCGUUAAUCGGAAUUACUGGGCGUAAAGGGCGCGUAGGCGGCAACUCAAGUCAGCUGUGAAAUCUCCGGGCUUAACUCGGAACGGUCAGCUGAUACUGUUUUGCUAGAGUGCAGAAGGGGCAAUCGGAAUUCUUGGUGUAGCGGUGAAAUGCGUAGAUAUCAAGAGGAACACCUGAGGUGAAGACGGGUUGCUGGGCUGACACUGACGCUGAUGCGCGAAAGCCAGGGGAGCGAACGGG
Molecule: ribosomal RNA, 253 nt
Filed under: uncultured bacterium
Lineage: Bacteria
Description: partial 16S ribosomal RNA
Rfam family: Bacterial small subunit ribosomal RNA
Source: RNAcentral